AAAGCAAUUACUUGAAGAUGUGUAAUAGCAACAAAUUCCACAAAACCAAAUGUGUUCAAACAACAUUUAUGAUAAUCGUAUGAAAACUCUUCAUCAUUCACUACAAAUCGAGUUUACUUCUGUCCUCUAUUCAUAAAGUUCAAUAAGCGGCAUUUUCCUACACAUUCAAAAGUAAAUUCAAUGUAGCUCCAUCUAUCUCUUCUCUAGUUAAUCCUCCUUCUCAAUCUUGAACGUCUGCUAGUUCAGUUUUUUCUUAGAAGAUAUGGACGAAAAAUCUAUAAAGUUUCAACUGCAAAUACCUGGUUAAAGUGUUGUUGCAGCUUCUCAUUUGUGUAAUUAAUGGAGCAUUGUUAAAAUCAGUCAAACAAGCAAGAAUAUAAUGUUUUAGAAAGCCCAUUUAUACAUAUGUUGAAGCAUCAUGAUCAAGAUUCUGUUUAUUACUUCUUCAGUUGUGACCAUUACACAUUUUGAUAGUGCAUCUUCAAAAUCCUUAAGAUCACACAUCGAAAGCUCUGCAAUAUUCUGAAGAUGUAAUUUAGACUUGUCAUCUCUUAGCAUUGAUGAAUCAGUUUCUUUGCCCCCUGUGAACUGCUCUUUCUCACUAAAGCCAACAACAUCCAUGGCCCUCAUUGUUUCCAGAUAAUCUUGAGCAAUACUAAUACCUACUAGUUCAAAGAAACUCGCUCUAUACUUUUAAACCUCCUUCUAAGAUUAAAAAACUCCUUGGGUGCUGCACAUAGAAGGGAGAAACAAUGAUAGUUGCAUUCCGGAUCUGAAACUUGGCAAACUCGAGACCUUUCUAAGAGGUAAGUUCUAGUAGCUGCACCAGACAUUCUUCAAUUUUUGGCAAAAGAAAUUUCCAUAAAUUUACCAAAAUGGCUUGAUUUGUUAUUUCUAAAUGUUUUGGCAUUCCCAAAUGCUUCAAGUACUGGAUUUGACUGUAAGCAGCAUCAGCAAUAGAGAAAACAUGAGAUAUUAAUUCGCCAAGCGGUGCUCCCCCUUGAAUUGUUCCAUCAUGUUGCGAUCAUAUUGACGAGGAAACUUUUGGAAUGGAUUGAUGGCAAUGAUAAUACUUUUAGUAUAAGUGUGUCAUAAUGUCACAUUAUGAUUGAACCGCACAUAGAUACAAUCAUUCAUUUCUUCCUCUCACUUAUCUACAGAAAUAUGACCAUAAACCUACAUAGAUUUCGUUGAUUUGAUAUCUUGAAGCCAAAUUCAGCAAGAUGCCAGGCUCAUGCAAAUAUGUUAAUUUGGUAAUGUCAUCAAAUCCAACAGCAUGAGCAUUUUCAUCUAUGGGGUGUAUGUUUGAUAAACUCACUGUAACCUAGAUGAAUUGAAAAAUCAAAUAUCAGUAAGCAGUUACGACUGAAGACAUAGCCACUUACAGUUGUGUCUGCUGGAUUAAAAUUUUGUGACAGUGCAACAUAAGAGGGAACGAGACAGAGCUUACUAAUACUUUCUUAAACAAAAAAACAAUAGCAACUACUACGCUGAACAAGUUACCGUCGACUAUAUGAACCCCCACUUCUUCAUUUAGGCUCAUUUCACAUUAUCAUCUUCAUACAAGGAAAGCUCAUUAAUAAAUCAAAGUACUUCAUAUUAAAACAUGUCAUACAAGGAUAACUCAAUAAUAAAUCACUGCCUGUUUAUACCUUCACGUCUCUGUGUAGAACACGGUUAAAGUGCAAAUAUUCUACUGCGAGUAAUAGUUGAUCAGUCAUAUGCUGAGUUUCUCUUCUGGUAACAGAGCUCCUCUAGAUUUCCUUGUGCUCAUUUUCACAUCUCCUCCUUCACAAUAUGUCAAUAAGCAUUAAAUUGUUAGCAAGGCUAGCAUGUCAAGUUCCCCUGAAAGAAAAAUAAAGUCACUCUGAUUUUGAGGCAACUCGAUAUAGUAUUUUUCUCAAGUCAAGGAUAAUCAUUUCAGUUCAAACUCUUGCUCUAGAAGCUGAAUAACAUAAUACGUUCUCGACCCAAGCAUCCUUGUACUCCAUGAUAUA
RNAcentral lists this unclassified non-coding RNA (1997 nucleotides) under Hevea brasiliensis (rubber tree). Lineage: Eukaryota; Viridiplantae; Streptophyta; Magnoliopsida; Malpighiales; Euphorbiaceae. The record is from RNAcentral.